GUAUUGGACUACCGUGGCAGUGACGGGUAACGGGGAAUUAGGGUUCGAUUCCGGAGGGGGAGCCUGAGAAACGGCUACCACAUCUAAGGAAGGCAGCAGGCGCGCAAAUUACCCAAUGAAAACAGUUUCGAGGUAGUGACGAGAAAUAACAAUACAGGGCAUUUUAUGCUCUGUAAUUGGAAUGAUGGGAAUGUAAAACCCUUUCAGAGUAACAAUUGGAGGGCAAGUCUGGUGCCAGCAGCCGCGGUAAUUCCAGCUCCAAUAGUGUAUAUUAGAGUUGUUGCAGUUAAAAAGCUCGUAGUUGGAUUUCUGUCGUGGUCAUCCGGUACCGCCCGUAUGGGUGUGCACCUGGUUUGCCCUCGGCUUUCUUCCGGUAGCCUUCGGCGCUUCACUGCGUGCUGUUGGUGUGUCCGGAACUUUUACUUUGAGAAAAAUAGAGUGUUUCAAGCAGGCUUGUCGCCCUGA
RNAcentral lists this ribosomal RNA (465 nucleotides) under Atoxoplasma sp. MS-2003. RNAcentral's name for it is "SSU rRNA". It matches the Rfam family "Eukaryotic small subunit ribosomal RNA", at positions 333 to 798 of the family's 1831-position model. The record is from RNAcentral. Lineage: Eukaryota; Apicomplexa; Conoidasida; Eucoccidiorida; Eimeriidae.